Molecule: non-coding RNA, 2025 nt
Organism: Chlorocebus sabaeus (green monkey)
Lineage: Eukaryota; Metazoa; Chordata; Mammalia; Primates; Cercopithecidae
Source: RefSeq, a predicted model, not a curated record
CGCGGGCGCCAGCCGGGAAGUGCUGCUAGGUUUGUUUCGCUGAGGUGCGUCCCCAGCCCAAGGGCACGACCGUGGUGGCCAGUUUCCGAGCCUCGCCCGGCUGGGGGCACGCGGUGGGCAUCCCGGUGUUGCCGUGAAACGAAAUUUAUUUGCUAAACUUGGCCGAGCUUUUGAAGUUGUUGAAUGCCUGCCUCAGAAAGUUGCCUCGUUCUCUGGGCUGUGUAGUUGGGUUUUUUUUAGUUAGAAUAUCGGCAGCGAAAAUGAUAAAUCCCCUAAACCUUGCCGAAAUAAAAACUGGCUGCGUCUUUUUUUUCCUUGGCUAUGAUCAACUGGGGUGCUUUUCUUUUAAAAAUAGUUUUUUAUUAUUAUUUUAAAAAGCAGUGCUGAGUAUAUUAAUUUAGGGUAGACGAAGAAAGGAUGAAAUUGCGCUGUCUCUGCCUAGAGAUAAACCAUGAACACGUUGUCAUGUGUGUUUCAUUCAGUCUUUUUGUUGAUCUGUUUUAUAAGUGCUGUACUUAUUGCAUAGGAGGUACCUGUGUUUAGAAAGCAUUUAUUGAAUGAUUACAAGCAAGAUGUAUCAGAAGAUCCACAAUCAGAAUCUUGUCGUUGGAUCUGCUGAGAGCUGGUCCCAUGGAGGAAAAAAAGACAAGUACACACAGAUGUGUGUGAUGCUACGUCAAGAGAGAUCCCAGAUUUGGGAUCUGCAGGCUUCAAGAGCUCAUCUUCAGCUAUACGGAGCAACUGGAGUCAGCAGCAGCUCUAGUUCUUGGAACCUCAGGCCAUUUUGCUCAACUCAAUAGAACACCCUCCUUUAGAUUUAUUAGAAACCUCCAAGAAAAAGAAAUAUGGCAGCUGGUACUAAAGCAGGAGCUUUAUGUUACAUCUUUCAAACUAUAGUGCAAGUGCCGUGAUUCUGAUAAAAUCUCCCUCCAUCCUACCGCGCCCCUAAACGUAUUGAGAAUCCCUGACUAGGAGGAAACAGGCUGAGCGGUUUGCUGAAUAAGGCUGAUCGCCCCUGCUGUGCAUGCUGUCCAUAGAUGGAAUGGACUUCUUUCGAGAAGCCCAGCUCCCUGACUCUGACUGUCGGAGGAGGCUGCCAAGUGACAAAACACCUGGCAUGGGAGACUGAGCCCUGGGUUUCCAGAGGGGCCAGGCCCCCAGAGCACACCGGUUUGGAACAAAUCGAUUUUGUCUGAACCUCUAUACUGUCUUCCUUAAUGGCUGUACUGAUUUACAUUGCUGCUGUCAUUAAUAGAUGAGGAAACUGAGGCUCUGAACAUUUGAUGAGUGUCCCAACACUUGACUAUCCUGAGGGAGAAUGUGAAGGAAGACAGGUGGCGGCCGAGUUCCUGACGAGGAACCCACGGGUGCGUGGGGACUUGCUCUUUCUCCUGAGUUGAUUACCUUUUGCCAGCAGAUGAGCACAUUUCUCCUCUCGGCCUGGAUCUUCUAUUAGUAAGUGUGUCCGGGAAGUAUUCAUGAAAGUUCUGUUUUUCCAGAACCCUGGAAUGAUCAUGGCAGGUCAGGAACUGAUCAUGAGAUCAUGUCCUUCCCAACACGUGCACCCAUUUUUUCAUUCUCCAUUGAGGAUAUCCUUUCAGGGAACAUAAGUGAAGGGCUAUCUUUUUCUCAUCCAUCCAAUGCCAUGUUGGGGAAAUGACUCACUCAAUCAACCAUGUCAGAGGCUGCAGGGGUCUUAGGUGUGUGGUGACCACAGGUGACAGGGAUGUGUGACAGCAGGUGCUGAAGGUCAGGUAUGGAGGCAGGUGAUUCAUCAGGUGCUCAGCCCGUCAGGCCAGGCGGCUUCCACAUACGCUACUUUGUCUCUAUCCUCAUCUGUUUUCUUUCACAGCACUUACAACUGCCUCAGCAUUGUUUGUUUACUUAAAUCUAGUUUAUCAACCCCUAGAACAUGUCUUCCUGACCACAGCUUUUUGUCUUUAUUACUACUCCAUCUCCAACAUUGAGAACAGUGCCGGGAACUCAAUGACUAUUUUUUUGAAUAAAUAAAUGGAUUAAAUUUUU